This 600-nucleotide ribosomal RNA is filed under the name Peribacillus simplex. RNAcentral's name for it is "bacterial SSU rRNA". It matches the Rfam family "Bacterial small subunit ribosomal RNA", at positions 36 to 621 of the family's 1533-position model. The record is from RNAcentral. Lineage: Bacteria; Bacillati; Bacillota; Bacilli; Caryophanales; Bacillaceae.
CAUGCGGCGAGCUAUACAUGCAAGUCGAGCGAAUCGAUGGGAGCUUGCUCCCUGAGAUUAGCGGCGGACGGGUGAGUAACACGUGGGCAACCUGCCUAUAAGACUGGGAUAACUUCGGGAAACCGGAGCUAAUACCGGAUACGUUCUUUUCUCGCAUGAGAGAAGAUGGAAAGACGGUUUACGCUGUCACUUAUAGAUGGGCCCGCGGCGCAUUAGCUAGUUGGUGAGGUAAUGGCUCACCAAGGCGACGAUGCGUAGCCGACCUGAGAGGGUGAUCGGCCACACUGGGACUGAGACACGGCCCAGACUCCUACGGGAGGCAGCAGUAGGGAAUCUUCCGCAAUGGACGAAAGUCUGACGGAGCAACGCCGCGUGAACGAAGAAGGCCUUCGGGUCGUAAAGUUCUGUUGUUAGGGAAGAACAAGUACCAGAGUAACUGCUGGUACCUUGACGGUACCUAACCAGAAAGCCACGGCUAACUACGUGCCAGCAGCCGCGGUAAUACGUAGGUGGCAAGCGUUGUCCGGAAUUAUUGGGCGUAAAGCGCGCGCAGGUGGUUCCUUAAGUCUGAUGUGAAAGCCCACGGCUCAACCGUGGAGG